UGAGGAAUUUUGCGCAAUGGGAGAAAUCCUGACGCAGCAACGCCGCGUGGGUGAUGAAGGCCUUCGGGUCGUAAAGCCCUGUCAGGUGGGAAGAAUGUCCCGGGACUGAACAGGGUUCGGGAGUGACGGUACCACCAGAGGAAGCACCGGCUAACUCCGUGCCAGCAGCCGCGGUAAUAAGGAGGGUGCAAGCGUUAUUCGGAAUUACUGGGCGUAAAGCGCGUGUAGGCGGUCCCGCAAGUCUGUUGUGAAAGCCCCGGGCUUAACCCGGGAAGUGCAUUGGAAACGGUGGGACUUGAGUACUGGAGAGGAUGGGGGAAUUCCCGGUGUAGAGGUGAAAUUCGUAGAGAUCGGGAGGAAUAUCAGUGGCGAAGGCGCCCAUCUGGACGGUAACUGACGCUGAGACGCGAAAGCGUGGGGAGCAAACA
RNAcentral lists this ribosomal RNA (428 nucleotides) under uncultured prokaryote. RNAcentral describes it as "bacterial SSU rRNA". It matches the Rfam family "Bacterial small subunit ribosomal RNA", at positions 355 to 774 of the family's 1533-position model. The record is from RNAcentral.